Molecule: ribosomal RNA, 910 nt
Filed under: uncultured bacterium
Lineage: Bacteria
Description: bacterial SSU rRNA
Rfam family: Bacterial small subunit ribosomal RNA
Source: RNAcentral
CGAGGGGUAGAGGAAGCUUGCUUCCUUGAGACCGGCGCACGGGUGCGUAACGCGUAUGCAAUCUACCUUUUACAGAGGGAUAGCCCAGAGAAAUUUGGAUUAAUACCUCAUAGUAUAUAUUAUUCGCAUGUUUGAUAUAUUAAAGUUCCAACGGUAAAAGAUGAGCAUGCGUCCCAUUAGUUAGUUGGUAAGGUAACGGCUUACCAAGACGAUGAUGGGUAGGGGUCCUGAGAGGGAGAUCCCCCACACUGGUACUGAGACACGGACCAGACUCCUACGGGAGGCAGCAGUGAGGAAUAUUGGUCAAUGGACGCAAGUCUGAACCAGCCAUGCCGCGUGCAGGAAGACGGUCCUAUGGAUUGUAAACUGCUUUUGUACGGGAAGAAACCCUCCGACGAGUCGGAGCUUGACGGUACCGUAAGAAUAAGCAUCGGCUAACUCCGUGCCAGCAGCCGCGGUAAUACGGAGGAUGCGAGCGUUAUCCGGAAUCAUUGGGUUUAAAGGGUCCGUAGGCGGUUUAAUAAGUCAGUGGUGAAAUCUGGUCGCUCAACGAUCAAACUGCCAUUGAUACUGUUAGACUUGAAUUACUGUGAAGUAACUAGAAUAUGUAGUGUAGCGGUGAAAUGCUUAGAUAUUACAUGGAAUACCAAUUGCGAAGGCAGGUUACUAACAGUUGAUUGACGCUGAUGGACGAAAGCGUGGGGAGCGAACAGGAUUAGAUACCCUGGUAGUCCACGCCGUAAACGAUGGAUACUAGUUGUUUGGAUUUAUCUGAGUGACUAAGCGAAAGUGAUAAGUAUCCCACCUGGGGAGUACGAACGCAAGUUUGAAACUCGAAGGAAUUGACGGGGGCCCGCACAAGCGGUGGAGCAUGUGGUUUAAUUCGAUGAUACGCGAGGAACCUUACCAA